CACAUAGCUCAGUGGUAGAGCACACAUUUUGUAUUCUAAAGGUCUCAGGUUCAAGCCCUGGUAUCUCGA
This is a non-coding RNA of Podarcis lilfordi (Lilford's wall lizard), 69 nucleotides long. Lineage: Eukaryota; Metazoa; Chordata; Lepidosauria; Squamata; Lacertidae. The record is from the annotation of a GenBank genome assembly.